UACAGAGGGGGCAAGCGUUGUUCGGAAUUACUGGGCGUAAAGGGCGCGUAGGCGGCCUGUUAAGUCGAACGUGAAAUCCCCGGGCUCAACCCGGGAACUGCGUCCGAUACUGGCAGGCUUGAGUCCGGGAGAGGGAUGCGGAAUUCCAGGUGUAGCGGUGAAAUGCGUAGAUAUCUGGAGGAACACCGGUGGCGAAGGCGGCAUCCUGGACCAAUAUUGACGCUGAGGAGCGAAAGCCAGGGGAGCAAACGGG
Molecule: ribosomal RNA, 253 nt
Filed under: uncultured bacterium
Lineage: Bacteria
Description: partial 16S ribosomal RNA
Rfam family: Bacterial small subunit ribosomal RNA
Source: RNAcentral